CCGUGGUCCACAGAGCCUCCCACACCUCUCCGAAGUGUCCCUCUCCAAGUUUCUUGUGGAGUCUGAACUCCUCUCGAGGUCUCUCCCACGGCUCCAUGUCGAACAGCUCCCGCUGCACAGAGACGACAGAGUGAGAUUCACAGAGGGCAGAUUUCACUUUUGAUGAUGUAUCGGGCAGAUACAUCAUCAAACACUCACCGGUCAGCAGCGUUGUCAGAGUGUGUCCGUGGCCUCAGACUCACAGCCUCCUCUGGAAGGGAAGAGAGAAGAGGGGAGGAAUCACUGAGCGUCCUCUGAUCGAGAAGAAGUCCAGAUUUCUUUUUUUUUUUUAGAUCUCAACACUCGUCUGCUCAUCUUUAAUAUCCAUAAAUAAUAAUAAUAAUAAUAAUAAUAAUAAUAAUAGGUAAUAUUCCUUUGCCCUAAACACCAACCAAUUGUGUUUAAUGUGACUCUCUCCAAACUGACGAGUGGGCGUGUUGCUGUUUAAACGAGUGGCUCCUCAUCCUGCAGUGAAAGUCUCCAGAUACUGAGAGCCCUCAGUGAGCUGUUCCCCGCUGGGCUCCAACUGAUGAGCCGUGAAUAAAGAAUACAGCGCGCCGGGGGUUUAAUGUAAGCUGCACUGCAGAGAUAGCGCGUGUAAUUACAGCACUGCCACGUGAUAUUACUCUCAAACUGUUCCAAAUAUUUUACACUGGUUAAUUACACUCCGAAUAUAUUUGCCUCUCAGUAUUAAUUUAUUCACGUAAAGCAUAAGACCGCCCUAAUUAAAAUUCCUGCUGCAGUGCAACAAUAGAGGGAUGAAUUCAGCAUCUUUAUGACACUUUGUCUCAGAUUCUUACUUAAAAACUGGAGCCUUUUCUGCCUGAAAUUUGACUUAAAUCAUCAGGAGGAACUGUUUUCAUUUUUCAGUUCUGUUAGCUGCAGUUUAGUGGAGCAUCAUUUUGCCAAAGUCAGUUUGAAUUCUUGGCACAAAUUCACCUUCUGGUAACGUACAAAGAGGGAGAGCAACAAUGAUUCCAAAAUGUUGGGACACAGUUUAAAAUAUAAAUGAAAAUAGAAGGUGAUCAUUUCCUAAGACACAUCUCCUGACGGCCAGAGAGCCCAGAUUCAUUUGAAAAGACGUUUAUCAAACCAUAGACACAUGAUUGAGCUCCUGCUAACACUUUUACCUGAGCAGCAUUUUAAAUCAAGUCUCCAGCUGCUUCAGUUGUUCAGCAGAAAGCCGCAAAUCUGUUUUGCUGUGAAGCUCCACAAAUGUUUUGCAGAAUACGAAACUUCACCCGACUUUCCAUCAGCGAGGAGGGACGAGAGAGUGGCUGAAACUGCGAGAAACCUCAAACACAGUCCCAGACGAUUAUUAAAUCACUGCUCCAGUUAUGUUUAUCGCAUGUUACCAUAGCAACAGUACUGAAAUCGUUCAGCUGACAGUUUCCAAAUAAACACCACAAACUAAACACAGAGCCUUUAUUUUUAUUUUAAUUAUACACUCUUAAUAGUCCUGAUAGAAGAAAAUAUAUUUCUUGAAAUUAAUAUCUGUAUCUUUAGUGACUGUAUUCUCACUUAAUGAUCAUUUUAGCUCCUGUGAUCUUUGUUACUGUGUACAAACUAUAUUACCUUAUAUUUAACAUGAACAUAUUUCAUAUUAUAACAUAUUUAAAUAUUGAAUAUACUGUAUUUUCAUUCUAUCACUUUGCCUAUCACACAACAGGUCAGAACGAGAAUUGUGAUGCUGUAAUAUUCAAUUUCUCACCUCAGAAACAAUAAAGUCUGUAUAUAAAUGUUAUGCAAGUGUUAUUAGUAAGCAGAGAUCUCUGGGUGUGGAUUCAGAAACAUAAACAUACCAACAGUUUCUCAUGUGUGCUCGUAUACUUCUAUCUUUGUGAGGAACAAUUUCACACAUGAGACAUUUCUGGAAAGUGAGAUUUUAGAUUUUAGUGUUUUGCCUUUAUCUCAGCAGUCUAACAGCAAUAGAGAAUAUUUUUUAAAAGCCACUGUUCACUUCCUUCUCAGCAGACUGACGCAGUUAGAAAUCAGCUGGUGAAGAUAGUGGAGUAUUUAGCAGCUAAAGAACCAGGUGGAGAAAAAACACAGAGCUGAGAGAGACUUGACCCAAACACGACUCCAAUUAAAUGAUCAUGUCGACGCUGCCCUUCAUUUGGACUUGUGUCUCAAAUAUGAAUCCACUAUUCACUCUCCUUUUAGCUCAUUUUGUAACUCCUGACAGAAAUAUCUGGUUCUUCAGCUUUAUUAACUCCUCAGGGAAAUGUUGUCCAAAAUCCUUCACUAUGAUCAACUGACAGUCACACUCCUGAAAGUCUGUUGGCCAUAAAACUGCUCACUGAAACACAACAGUGCAGCUUCAUGAACGCAUUAUGUCCUCACAAGAAUAGGAGUAAAAAACCAUUUGUGUUUUUGUA
This is a long non-coding RNA of Acanthopagrus latus (yellowfin seabream), 2417 nucleotides long. RefSeq lists it as uncharacterized. The transcript is spliced from 3 exons. The record is from RefSeq and is a predicted model, not a curated record. NCBI's taxonomy places the organism in Eukaryota, Metazoa, Chordata, Actinopteri, Spariformes, Sparidae.